Molecule: ribosomal RNA, 403 nt
Filed under: uncultured bacterium
Lineage: Bacteria
Description: bacterial SSU rRNA
Rfam family: Bacterial small subunit ribosomal RNA
Source: RNAcentral
GAGUUUGAUCCUGGCUCAGGACGAACGCUGGCGGCGUGCUUAACACAUGCAAGUCGAGCGACGCGCUCCUUCGGGGGUGACGGAGCGGCGAACGGGUGAGUAACACGUGGGCAACCUGCCCUCAGCUCUGGGACAACUCCGGGAAACCGGGGCUAAUACCGGAUACGACAUCGGAUCGCAUGGUCUGGUGUGGAAAGUUUUUCGGCUGGGGAUGGGCCCGCGGCCUAUCAGCUUGUUGGUGGGGUGAAGGCCUACCAAGGCGACGACGGGUAGCCGGCCUGAGAGGGCGAUCGGCCACACUGGGACUGAGACACGGCCCAGACUCCUACGGGAGGCAGCAGUGGGGAAUAUUGCGCAAUGGGCGAAAGCCUGACGCAGCGACGCCGCGUGGGGGAUGAAGGCC